Molecule: long non-coding RNA, 425 nt
Filed under: Helianthus annuus (common sunflower)
Lineage: Eukaryota; Viridiplantae; Streptophyta; Magnoliopsida; Asterales; Asteraceae
Description: hypothetical non coding rna
Source: RNAcentral
GUGGUCUUCAUUUAUUAACCUUAUUUAAGUUACAUGUUGCCGUCACGAAAGUUUUGGAAGUGCAGGGAGCUAUGUGUAACUCUGGAAGAUGCUGAUAUAAAAAGGUAGCGAUUAGGGUUCUGGAUCAUUCUCUCGCACGCCUGCAUUCUCUUUUAUCUCACACCCACCAAUCCUAUCUCUCUCAGUCUGUUCAAGUUGUUACGAGUUGUUGAUGAUGUUGAUGAUCCAGUGUGGAUCUUGGUUUUAGUUGUUGAUCCUUCUUUGUGGAUCUGUUGUUGCUGUUGAUCCUGUGGAUCUCUGUAUUUGGUUGUAUCGUUCUUGUUAAUCAACUGAUAAUCAUCAGUUGAUUAUUUCCUUGUAUUGUUUGUAUUAUAGAUCUUACAAUUUGUAAGAUCUUGGGAGGUUGGGAGUUUUUUAGGGUUGGU